GGACAUGAAAGAAGAAUGUGUACACAGGCCUUUCAUCACCAAAAUGUUGUAACAUCAUUAAUGUUUGUUUGCUUGUUUGUCUCCAUUCAAAUACAGAAAACUGAUAUAUAGCCUGGGAUAUUAUAAUUCAUUGUCAAAAGGGUGUUCUUAAUCGAGCGAUUUUGUGCAUGAAUUCAGCACAAGAGAUCAUGGCCAACAGUAACAUGGGUAUCAGGUUUGGACAAGAUCUGCCCAACACAGAGCCCCGGUGACAAAGAGUGGCCCUCACAUCUCUGACCCAGCCUGGGGGAACUGCUCCUUCUGACUCACAGUCUGCUUGUUCAGGUUCUCAUUAAAGCUGUCCUUGAUCUCCACAACUUCCUGCCGACUGCUGCUAAGAAAUCUGACUCCCGGAGCUCUGUCAAGGGCAGGUCUGUAUGUACUCAGCUUGAAAGAGCCAGAAGUCAGGGCCUGAGUGUAGAGGUGGCCGGGAGGGCACUGCUGGGUAAGGCAGCAUGGGAGGGCACCUGGAGUGGCAUUGUCAGGUCUCCUGGUGGCUUAGAAAGCUCUUCUCAAGGAGCCACACUACCUGGUAGAUAAGUCUGACAGCCCACUUUUUUCUCUGACUCCUUGUCCCCCAUCUGUAAACCCUUCACAAUGCCCCAGACAUGCAAUUAAAUACUAAUUUUAAAAUCAGGUUUUAUCUAAGCUCCUUAUGGGUUAUUUCUGCUCCCACAGAGGUACAAGAAACUCCAAUAGCACACUAAUUACACCCCACUUGAUAGGAGGCAGCCUGGGAGGUUGAGGUGCACAGGGCAGCUUUCAUACCUACCCUGCUAGGAGGUUUCAAUGCUUAUUAUUUCUUAGGUCUCUGAGAUUUUUGUUGCAGUUUCACCAUAGUAUAGAGAGUGCCCUGUAUCACAGUGCUGGGCUAAUAUGGAUUUCUUUCUUUUUUUAUUUUUAUUUUUUUUAAACCAUGCUUUUUCAGGCACUGUGGAAUAUAGUUCCUGGCAUUUAAGAGAAGGUGCCUGUUGGACUCUGAAUAAAGCCAUUUCCUCUGCAAUUAGAGACUUUGGCUCAAAAAAGACCUUUUCUGAGAAACCAUAAGCCCAUAUUCUGGUAUUUCAGUAUUUCAUCUCUUACCCUCCCCCUAUUCCUCACUGGAAUUCAUACAAUCCUAGAAAUUGAACACCACCAUGAAACAAUCAUCCAAACAUAUUAUUCCACUUUCAGGCUUAAGAAAACGAGGUUAAAGACACAGGCCCCCCACCCAAACCUUUAGCGAGUUUUAGACCAAAUAUAUGUGAAGGGCCUUUUCCAAAAGGAAUAGUAACUAGAAGCCAAAAAUAAAGCACUGAAAUAAAAUCCCACUUUGAAUUAUGUAUAAGCAAAGUACAUUAGUAAAAUCCAAAUGUACUUUAGGAAUAGAGAUCUGCUAUUUGCUAGGAUUGGAAUUUCAUUAUUGAAAAGGAAGGGAAAAAACAGAAGUAAUAAAAUUAGUUGUACUUAGUAUUGAUGACAAACACGCUCCAUAUUUGAUGAUUGUCUCCUGAGUCCAUCAGUACAGUUGGAGCUGCUUUUAAUGGGUUAAAACUCAUUAAGAGGAGAGUUGUCUCUUGAGCUGAGGUGUUGGAACAUGAAAGUCUGAUUAUUUUUCCUUCUUUUGUUUAUUCAUUCAUUUGUUCAUCAUGAAACUCAUUCUCUGCCUGGUACUGAGGAAGGAUGUUAAUGCAAGAACCACCCCUACUCUUGAGGGCCUUCCCAGUUUCCUUCAGGAUUUAAGCUCCCUGGCCUCAUUCCAGACAUUGGUCACCAAGUCCGCUAUUACAUUGGAUGAUUAAAGGUAUGUGGAUAUCAAGGAGAGAGCAGGCAGGGAAUUACAUUUGAUGGGCUCCAUUAGUCUUCUGUGGUUCAGGUAAGGUCAGCACAGGAUAUUGUUCAAACUCUAAAUUCUGGUACUUUGUUCCUGGGCAUAGAUGCUCUAACAUUCAGAGGUUUUUGCUGCCUUUUGAAAGGUGUCAAACUCAUAAUCUCACACAGAGUACACCAGAAUGAGGGACACUGACCAGCUCUAACCCAUCUCUAGGCACUAGGUCAUCUUGUCUCAAAAGACCUGUAUAAAAGUAGGCUAUUUCAUGCAAGGAAACUGCAGUUAGGAAAAUUACAUAUGUGCUUUAGACCACUCACAGGUAAAGGGUGGUGCCUGGUCAGGAGCUCUGGUUUUGCUCUUAACCCUUACACAGCCCUGCUUCCUUCAGAAAAAGUGUGGGGUGGAGUUCCCGUCGUGGCUCUGUGGUUAAUGAGCCCGACUAGUAUCCAUGAGGCUGUGGGUUCCAUUCCUGGCCUCGAUCAGUGGGUUAAGGAUCUGGCGUUGCCAUGAGCUGUGGUGUAGGUCGCAGAAGCAAUUCGGAUCCCAUGUUGCUGUGGCCCUGACGUAGGCCAGCGGCUACAGCUCCAAUUAGACCCCUAGCCUGGGAACCUCCGUAUGCCAUGGGUGCAGCCCUAAAAAGACAAAAAGAAAAAAAGAAAAAAAAGUGUGAGGUGAUACUUUCUAGGCACUGUGGCAAAAUGAGGGUAGAUGAUAGGAGAGGAAAAAGCUAACCUUUCUCUAUUCUCGCCAUAUAUUUUGAAAUUUGAACAGUCCUUGAAUUUAUUUCCUUUUUUCUGAUUUAAAAAUUGAAAUCGUUUAUUAUCCCUCAAUCAGGAGGAAACACUGUCGAAUUUUUUUGUGUACUUUCUAUCUCAUUUCUUUGCAUACAUGUGUGUAUGUGUAUAAAUCAAAUUGGUAUUUUUAUUACUUAGCCACUUUUCUUUUGAUGGACACUAGAGAGGUUGCACGCCCUGGACCAAUGCAGAAUACAAAGCAUUUUUGUUAAUUAGCUAUCUAUGCCAUAUUGGGCUUUUCAUUCCUUUUUGUAUCACAAGAUCGUUUCUCUUGCUGAUUCAUCUCCUGCCAUAUCUUUUACAUUCUCUCUAUGUCCAUUGCCACUUCUCUGUACAACUCUUGUUACCUUUCUUCCCUUCCUUUCCUCCAAAACUGUCCUCAUAAAGGUUGCUGAAGUUCUAGUUAUUAAUAAUCCAGUGAUGCCCAGUUUAUCUAUUUGUUUCACUUGUUCCUGUGCGUCUAUUAUUUUGGUACUAAGAAACCAUCAAGGAUACAAAGAGUCAUGGCCUAUGUGCUCUUCUGAGAGUUUUAUAGUUUUAGUUCUUACAUUUAGCUGUUACAAAAAGGCAUUUAUUAAGGGGGUAUUUUACAGAAUUAGGAGGGUUUGAAGAAAUGGACUCUAGCUUUGGCUUCCAGGAACAACCCUCUCGAUCACAUUAUAGAACUGGGUUGCCAGAGAGAUGUGGUCUUGACCAUGACCACGAAGCUGGUACGCCCCUCUAGCUCCAGAACCACCCUAUCCUGCCAUGGUCUCCACCAGCAAAAUGAUUGCCUUGUGUCCCAUCCAUCUUCCACAUUCAACUCAGAGCCUCAGUCUCUUCAUUUAUAAACUGUGAGGGGCAUCUACCUCCAGGGUGUAUCUAGCACAUUUCACAAUUCGUGGGGCCUAAGCACAUGCCAGUGAUAUGGAUGUAGAUUGUAAAUGACUCGUUAGGACUUACCGGUGCCAACCAGCUGAAUAUUAACAGUCUUGACAGUAUUACAAGAAUUAAAUGAGCUUGGUACUGUAAUGCCAAGUGACAAGGGUUAUUUGAUGGUCCUGGGUACCUAUGGCAUGCCUGGUCUGACUGAGAUUACUCAGGGUAGCAGUGGUCAGACAGGUGAAAAUCCUAGAAACACCCCCCAAGACCUUAAAAGAGAGAGAAUGCUCUCACAGAUACAGACAAGAAUCUAAGCACUUGGACUCCUGCCUCUGAGCUCUUGACCUGAGCAUAACCUGGGCACACAGGAAAGAGAGCUGGGUGGUGUUUGGUCAGUCAAGGGGGAGACUGCUCCAGUUCUCAACUGUUAUUCUAGCAAAACAGGUGGAUGGAUUUGAGCCCAAGAGGUAAGAAGUGAGCAAAAUAACCAGGAUCGUUAGGCUUUGGGGUAUGCUUUGCAUGAGAAUGAUGGACACUAAACCUGUCGGAAGGAAAGGCGUGUACAGGAGUAAACAUGCCAGAGACUGGAGUCCAGAACCUUGAAAGUUUAAUGAGGACAGUUAGUGAAGCAGUACCCUGUGAUGAAUCACAUCAAAAGCACUGCUUAAAUCAAGUGGGAUCAUGGUGGACAAUACCAUUUAAUUUAACUGCUUAAAGGUCAUUUGAAACUCUUAAUAGUGCACUGGCAGGAGGACUUGGCUUCUAAAUCCAGGCAGAUAAAGGUGCAUUAGGUCUCCAGAGUGGAGGACUUAAGAUCUGAGCCAGCCCGGCAGAGCUGGUGCACCUGAAUAGAUGAGAAGAAGCAAGAGGAGACAGAUGAAAGUGAAACGGAGUCACUGCGGGUUUUUUACUUCUUUUAAUUUUUUAGAGAUCUCCUCACUGGAGGGCCUAAAAAGUGAUGUUAAGAAAGUAAUAAAUGAGUACAAGGUUAUUACAGGGAAUAUUGCUGUCAUGUUUUGUGAGCAAAUGAACAUGUUAUAUAAGUAGUUAUAAUGGCGGUACACAAGGUAGAGUUUCAUAUUUUCAGAAAAUAAAGAUUACAACUGAAUGUAUCUGGUGCAUAUUUAAUGAAGAGCAUAAUCAAGGGAUAUUGGAGCUGUAAAGGAACCGGCCAGUUGUCAGGUUCAGCCUCCUCAUUUGUGCAAAUGAGGAAAACAAAUUUGGAGAUGACUCUGGUAUCCUGAGUUUACACAGUCACCAGGGAUGGAUCCAGGAUUAGCACUCAGGCCUCUCAUGCUGUACUGGCCCAUCUACUUCAUUGUUACUGGGCUGCAGGAGCCUUAGCUAUAAACAGACACUUCAGGUUUUUGCGCUGUAACUAAACAGACUCUGGGGAGGCAGCUGGGAGAGGGAGAAUCAGAUUGAGCCAGAGUUGCUCAGGAGAUCCUGAAAAGCUAUGAAUUUGGAACCCAAAGGACAGAGCCUCCCUCUCCUCAGGGAAAGGGUGUCUAGGGUUUGGGCAUUUGCCUGCUCAUCCUUUGUGCUCACCUGCCUGCCCAGCUACUACACCUGUCAGGUGGCUGCUGGACUUGGACCAUGAGUCAAGAGAAGGAGUACUCCCAAAUUAGUCCCUUUCUGCUGGUGACGAUCUUUAAUCUCACCAUUGAAAUACACAGCUCCCUUUUCUCAUUUUUCUUUUGAAUGGAUUGCCUUUCCUUGUCUGUUUGCUUUCUUGUUUUCUUAUUCCAUUUCCCCUUUUUACUGAUUGGGAAGUUACAGCCUCUAUUUUUAAAUUUUUAGUGUUUGUCCUUGAAACAUUAAUAUGCAUACUUAUCACAGUAUUAUUGAGCAUUUUAAUCUUUUUUAAACCCUAAAAAUUAGCAGUUGUUAUUAUUUUAUAUAGUUAGUUUUUAUAUUUACUCCCAUGUUUACCACUUUCUUUAUUCAUAGUCCUUUCUCAGCCCUGUCUUUUCUUCUCAAGUAUAUCCUCCCUUUAGGUACAGGUCCUUUCGAUGGCAAAUUCCCUUUGUUUGGUUGCUGCACUUGUGUUCUUGUAAAGCUACAUAAUUCUUUGUUGACAGUUAUUUUCUCUCACCAGAGAUUUUGCCACCCUUUCGUGGCUUCCUGUGUAAGCUGUGGGCAAGUUGGGUAUCGGUCUCAUUGUCAUUACUGGUAACAAAGAUGUGUUUUUUCUCUUGAGUAUUUUUGGGACCAUCUUUGUCUUUCUUAUUUCAUGGUUUUACUACAGCAGGUCUAGGUGGGGAUUUUUUUUUUUUCCUUUUCCUUUAUCUGUGUGCUUCUUACCUGUGUAUUAAAGUCUCAUGAAUUAAAAAAAAAAAAAA
This 5846-nucleotide long non-coding RNA is filed under the name Sus scrofa (pig). RNAcentral's name for it is "lncRNA (ENSSSCG00025027813.1)". The record is from RNAcentral. Lineage: Eukaryota; Metazoa; Chordata; Mammalia; Artiodactyla; Suidae.